ACAAGCUCCCAGCCAAGCUAAGGUAUGUACACCUUACAGUAGCAACAUUCUCAUACAAUAUUUCAUACAAAAAAUUUCGUGCUUACACACUUAAUUCUUAGCCUUCAUUUCUUCUGUACUUACAAUAAAGUCUUUAAGGUCUUUCAACUACUAUGUCUAAUAAUUUUUUUAAGACUUGCAACGCUAAAGGUCCGUCCUGCUAGGGAUGUCACCUUUCAAUCCAAACAUUUAAUUCAACAACCUCACAUGUCUUCUACCUUGUUGCAUCUGCCAAAUGAGCCAGUCAAGAGAGAUGACAAUUGUCUGUUCCAUCAAGAAAUUUGUAUCGCUCAUCAAAAAUCUCAACGAGGCACAGAAAGAAGCACUUGAAAGGAUCGGAUUUAGUGGUUUAUUAGCAAUGCCAGAAAUAACGCUUCAACGCAAACUUUGUAUUUGGUUGGCUGAAAAUUUCGACAUAACUAGCCAAUCAAUAGUGAUCCAAGGCAAACAAAUACCCAUAACAAUUUCAGAUGUGAACAGUAUCAUGGGUUUACCUUCGGAGGGUGUGGAGAUUAGCACAAAACCUGCACUGGAUGAAGAUGAUUACAAAUAUUAUGCCAUGUACAAGGCCUCAAGGAGCAGUAACAUAUCUCUAGGCUGCUUGCAGGAGGCAAUUUUACAAGACCCUGAAGCAGGGGAGCACUUCAUAAGAAGAAUGGUGUUGUUCACCAUUGGAUACAUUUUAUGUCCCACCACAAAGCCAUAUGUUAGCUCUGAUUAUUUAUCCCUUGUGAAGGAUGUUGAUAAGAUUAAAAGCACAAAUUGGUCAAGCUUAACAAGGGACUUUU
This 827-nucleotide long non-coding RNA is filed under the name Oryza brachyantha (malo sina). Its description in RNAcentral is "long non-coding RNA (OBRA_LNC003462)". Lineage: Eukaryota; Viridiplantae; Streptophyta; Magnoliopsida; Poales; Poaceae. The record is from RNAcentral.